RNAcentral lists this ribosomal RNA (674 nucleotides) under alpha proteobacterium IMCC15079. RNAcentral's name for it is "bacterial SSU rRNA". It matches the Rfam family "Bacterial small subunit ribosomal RNA", at positions 29 to 749 of the family's 1533-position model. The record is from RNAcentral. Lineage: Bacteria; Pseudomonadati; Pseudomonadota; Alphaproteobacteria.
ACGUACGCUGGCGGCACGCCUAACACAUGCAAGUCGAACGAAGUAGCAAUACUUAGUGGCAGACGGGUGAGUAACAUGUAGGUAUCUGCCCUUUGGCCUGGAAUAACACGAGGAAACUUGUGCUAAUACCGGAUAAGUCUUUACGGAGAAAGCUUUAUGCACCAUUGGAUGAGCCUGCACUUGAUUAGUUUGUUGGUGGGGUAAUGGCCUACCAAGACUGUGAUCAAUAGCUGAUUUGAGAGGAUGAUCAGCCACAUUGGGACUGAGACACGGCCCAAACUCCUACGGGAGGCAGCAGUGGGGAAUCUUGCACAAUGGAGGAAACUCUGAUGCAGCGAUGCCGCGUGAGUGAAGAAGGCCCUUGGGUUGUAAAGCUCUUUCGUCGGGGAAGAAAAUGACUGUACCCGAAUAAGAAGGUCCGGCUAACUUCGUGCCAGCAGCCGCGGUAAUACGAAGGGACCUAGCGUAGUUCGGAAUUACUGGGCUUAAAGAGUUCGUAGGUGGUUGAAAAAGUUAGUGGUGAAAUCCCAGAGCUUAACUCUGGAACUGCCAUUAAAACUUUUCAGCUAGAGUAUGAUAGAGGAAAGCAGAAUUUCUAGUGUAGAGGUGAAAUUCGUAGAUAUUAGAAAGAAUACCAAUUGCGAAGGCAGCUUUCUGGAUCAUUACUACACUAG